GCUGGCGGCGUGCUUAACACAUGCAAGUCGAACGGAAAGGCCCUGCUUUUGUGGGGUGCUCGAGUGGCGAACGGGUGAGUAACACGUGAGUAACCUGCCCUUGACUUUGGGAUAACUUCAGGAAACUGGGGCUAAUACCGGAUAGGAGCUCCUGCUGCAUGGUGGGGGUUGGAAAGUUUCGGCGGUUGGGGAUGGACUCGCGGCUUAUCAGCUUGUUGGUGGGGUAGUGGCUUACCAAGGCUUUGACGGGUAGCCGGCCUGAGAGGGUGACCGGCCACAUUGGGACUGAGAUACGGCCCAGACUCCUACGGGAGGCAGCAGUGGGGAAUAUUGCACAAUGGGCGGAAGCCUGAUGCAGCAACGCCGCGUGCGGGAUGACGGCCUUCGGGUUGUAAACCGCUUUCGCCUGUGACGAAGCGUGAGUGACGGUAAUGGGUAAAGAAGCACCGGCUAACUACGUGCCAGCAGCCGCGGUGAUACGUAGGGUGCGAGCGUUGUCCGGAUUUAUUGGGCGUAAAGGGCUCGUAGGUGGUUGAUCGCGUCGGAAGUGUAAUCUUGGGGCUUAACCCUGAGCGUGCUUUCGAUACGGGUUGACUUGAGGAAGGUAGGGGAGAAUGGAAUUCCUGGUGGAGCUGUGGAAUGCGCAGAUAUCAGGAGGAACACCAGUGGCGAAGGCGGUUCUCUGGGCCUUUCCUGACGCUGAGGAGCGAAAGCGUGGGGAGCGAACAGGCUUAGAUACCCUGGUAGUCCACGCUGUAAACGGUGGGUACUAGGUGUGGGGUCCAUUCCACGGGUUCCGUGCCGUAGCUAACGCUUUAAGUACCCCGCCUGGGGAGUACGGCCGCAAGGCUAAAACUCAAAGGAAUUGACGGGGCCCCGCACAAGCGGCGGAGCAUGCGGAUUAAUUCGAUGCAACGCGUAGAACCUUACCUGGGUUUGACAUGGAUCGGGAGUGCUCAGAGAUGGGUGUGCCUCUUUUGGGGUCGGUUCACAGGUGGUGCAUGGCUGUCGUCAGCUCGUGUCGUGAGAUGUUGGGUUAAGUCCCGCAACGAGCGCAACCCUUGUUCACUGUUGCCAGCACGUUAUGGUGGGGACUCAGUGGAGACCGCCGGGGUCAACUCGGAGGAAGGUGGGGAUGACGUCAAGUCAUCAUGCCCCUUAUGUCCAGGGCUUCACGCAUGCUACAAUGGCUGGUACAGAGAGUGGCGAGCCUGUGAGGGUGAGCGAAUCUCGGAAAGCCGGUCUCAGUUCGGAUUGGGGUCUGCAACUCGACCUCAUGAAGUCGGAGUCGCUAGUAAUCGCAGAUCAGCAACGCUGCGGUGAAUACGUUCCCGGGGCUUGUACACACCGCCCGUCAAGUCAUGAAAGUUGGUAACACCCGAAGCCGGAGGCCUAACCGUUGUGGGGGAGCCGUCGAAGGUGGGACUGG
RNAcentral lists this ribosomal RNA (1429 nucleotides) under uncultured organism. Its description in RNAcentral is "16S ribosomal RNA". It matches the Rfam family "Bacterial small subunit ribosomal RNA". The record is from RNAcentral.